Molecule: ribosomal RNA, 1008 nt
Filed under: Ogma decalineatus
Lineage: Eukaryota; Metazoa; Nematoda; Chromadorea; Rhabditida; Criconematidae
Description: partial large subunit ribosomal RNA
Rfam family: Eukaryotic large subunit ribosomal RNA
Source: RNAcentral
CCUUAGUACGGCGAGUGAACAGGACCAGUCCAGCGCUAAAUCUCGGCGUUUCGGCGCCGCGACGUGUAGCGUAUAGCCGACGUGUUUAGCUGUGGUCGAAGGCACAAGUUUCCCAUGACCGGGGCGCCAGAGAAGGUGAUAGACCUGUAGCGCUUGAGGCCUUAGCUAAUUGCGUCGUCUUGGAGUCGGGUUGUUUGGGAUCGCAGCCCAAAGCAGGUGGUAAACUUCAUCUAAGACUAAAUAUUCCUACGAGACCGAUAGCGAACAAGUACCGUGAGGGAAAGUUGAAAAGCACUUUGAAGAGAGAGUUAAAGAGGACGUGAAACCGGUAGGAUGGAAACGGAUAGAGCCAGCGAACUCGUUCGUAUUCAGCUAAAGGCUUGUGGUCGCCUUGCGUUGGGUUGUUUAACGCGCUCGACGUUUGUCCGGCUGCGAGCUGAGGUGCAUUUGCGGACGUAUGCGCUGAGACUUGUGGGGCAUUGGUUGGACCCGUUUGCUAGAGGCCGUCCUUUGGACGGAACCUGGCGGCGGCGACGGCUGUUUGCUUUGCUCGUACGUGGCACGGCCUACGAACCUUGGCUGCGUCGUUGUUUUGUUGCCGUGGUAUCGCAUGCGAUGCCUAGCAGUGAGGCUGCGAUUCGGUUGAGUGUUCUCGUGUCGCUUCUCGGUGUAAAAGCUGGUCAUCUCUCUGACCCGUCUUGAAACACGGACCAAGGAGUUUAGCGUAUGCGCGAGUCAUUGGGUGCCUAAAACCCAUAGGCGUAAUGAAAGUAAAGGCUUGUUUGUCAAGCUGACAUGCGAGUGUUUGGGCUUCGGCCCCGCCAUGCAGCAUGGUCCCGUUUCGGUCGCUUGCGACGGAGCGGAGACAGAGCGUAUGCGCUGAGACCCGAAAGAUGGUGAACUAUUCCUGAGCAGGACGAAGCCAGAGGAAACUCUGGUGGAAGUCCGAAGCGAUUCUGACGUGCAAAUCGAUCGUCUGACUUGGGUAUAGGGCGAAGAUAUCGAACC